UAGAGAAUACCAAGGCGCUUGAGAGAACUCGGGUGAAGGAACUAGGCAAAAUGGUACCGUAACUUCGGGAGAAGGUACGCUCUUGAUGGUGAAGUCCCUCGCGGAUGGAGCUGACGAGAGUCGCAGAUACCAGGUGGCUGCAACUGUUUAUUAAAAACACAGCACUGUGCAAAAUCGCAAGAUGACGUAUACGGUGUGACGCCUGCCCGGUGCCGGAAGGUUAAUUGAUGGGGUUAGCGCAAGCGAAGCUCUUGAUCGAAGCCCCGGUAAACGGCGGCCGUAACUAUAACGGUCCUAAGGUAGCGAAAUUCCUUGUCGGGUAAGUUCCGACCUGCACGAAUGGCGUAAUGAUGGCCACGCUGUCUCCACCCGAGACUCAGUGAAAUUGAAAUCGCUGUGAAGAUGCAGUGUACCCGCGGCUAGACGGAAAGACCCCGUGAACCUUUACUACAGCUUGGCACUGAACAUUGAACCUACAUGUGUAGGAUAGGUGGGAGGCUAUGAAGACGUGACGCCAGUUGCGUUGGAGCCGUCCUUGAAAUACCACCCUUGUAUGUUUGAUGUUCUAACUUAGACCCGUUAUCCGGGUUGAGGACAGUGCCUGGUGGGUAGUUUGACUGGGGCGGUCUCCUCCCAAAGAGUAACGGAGGAGCACGAAGGUGGGCUAAUCACGGUUGGACAUCGUGAGGUUAGUGCAAUGGCAUAAGCCCGCUUAACUGCGAGAAUGACGGUUCGAGCAGGUGCGAAAGCAGGUCAUAGUGAUCCGGUGGUUCUGUAUGGAAGGGCCAUCGCUCAACGGAUAAAAGGUACUCCGGGGAUAACAGGCUGAUACCGCCCAAGAGUUCAUAUCGACGGCGGUGUUUGGCACCUCGAUGUCGGCUCAUCACAUCCUGGGGCUGAAGUCGGUCCCAAGGGUAUGGCUGUUCGCCAUUUAAAGUGGUACGCGAGCUGGGUUUAGAACGUCGUGAGACAGUUCGGUCCCUAUCUGCCGUGGGCGUUGGAAGAUUGAAGGGGGCUGCUCCUAGUACGAGAGGACCGGAGUGGACGAACCUCUGGUGUUCGGGUUGUGUCGCCAGACGCAUUGCCCGGUAGCUAAGUUCGGAAUUGAUAAGCGCUGAAAGCAUCUAAGCGCGAAGCGAGC
RNAcentral lists this ribosomal RNA (1141 nucleotides) under Vibrio cholerae. RNAcentral's name for it is "partial 23S ribosomal RNA". It matches the Rfam family "Bacterial large subunit ribosomal RNA", at positions 1672 to 2797 of the family's 2925-position model. Lineage: Bacteria; Pseudomonadati; Pseudomonadota; Gammaproteobacteria; Vibrionales; Vibrionaceae. The record is from RNAcentral.